Pelobates cultripes (western spadefoot toad) is the source of this 174-nucleotide non-coding RNA. The record is from the annotation of a GenBank genome assembly. NCBI's taxonomy places the organism in Eukaryota, Metazoa, Chordata, Amphibia, Anura, Pelobatidae.
GCCCAGGACACUGCGUCUGCACAUUCAGCUCCUCUCUCCCAUUAACUCUCGCGAGUGUGACUCGCUUGCCGUGCGGAGCGUUGCCAUGUUAACCCAUGGCAGUGCUCUGACGGCCACCGGUCAUGCGAGAGUUAAUGGGAGAGAAGAGCUGAAUGUGCAGAUGCAGUGUCCUGG